UGCUUUUCGAUGAUGAGGAGAGUAGAUGUCAGGAUCUGUCAAAGCGAGCCGGGGAUGGUGGAAGUCCGGCACAAGCCUGAGAUUGAAACGCACCUCUGAGAAUUUUGUUGAAUCUUAUUAAGCGUAGACAAAACGGAAUCCCACCGUUAUCAGGGAGUAGAGUGGGUACAGGAUAUGUACCAAUAAGAGUGGUAACACGGGAAUUGACUCUCGUCUCUUGC
This 221-nucleotide non-coding RNA is filed under the name Geosporobacter ferrireducens. RNAcentral's name for it is "T-box sequence". It matches the Rfam family "T-box leader". Rfam says of the family: Uncharged tRNA acts as the effector for transcription antitermination of genes in the T-box leader family. T-boxes are found upstream of many aminoacyl-tRNA synthetase genes and some amino acid biosynthetic genes usually in Gram-positive bacteria. The anticodon of a specific tRNA base pairs to a specifier sequence within the T-box motif, and the NCCA acceptor tail of the tRNA base pairs to a conserved bulge in the T-box antiterminator hairpin. Lineage: Bacteria; Bacillati; Bacillota; Clostridia; Peptostreptococcales; Thermotaleaceae. The record is from RNAcentral.